This 253-nucleotide ribosomal RNA is filed under the name uncultured bacterium. RNAcentral's name for it is "partial 16S ribosomal RNA". It matches the Rfam family "Bacterial small subunit ribosomal RNA", at positions 524 to 776 of the family's 1533-position model. The record is from RNAcentral.
UACGUAGGGGGCAAGCGUUGUCCGGAAUCAUUGGGCGUAAAGAGCGUGUAGGCGGCCCGAUAAGUCCGCCGUGAAAGUCCAGGGCUCAACCCUGGGAUGCCGGUGGAAACUGUCGGGCUAGAGUCCGGAAGAGGCGAGUGGAAUUCCUGGUGUAGCGGUGAAAUGCGUAGAUAUCUGGAGGAACACCGAUGGCGAAGGCAGGUCUCUGGGCCACUACUGACGCUGAGGAGCGAAAGCAUGGGGAGCGAACAGG